GUGCGGGACUCUGUGUUGGGGGCUGAGGGUGCGGGUCUCUGUGUUGGGGGGCUGAGGGUGUGGGACUCUGUGUUGGGGGCUGAGGGUGCGGGACUCUGCGUUGGGGGCUGAGGGUGCGGGACUCUGUGUUGGGGGGCUGGAGGGCGUGGGACUCUCCGUGUUGGGGCUGAGGGUGCGGGACUCUCCGUGUUGGGGUGGUCUGAUGGUUGCAGGACUCUCCGUCUUGGGGGCAUGAGGGU
RNAcentral lists this long non-coding RNA (239 nucleotides) under Aotus nancymaae (Ma's night monkey). Its description in RNAcentral is "lncRNA (ENSANAG00000038840.1)". Lineage: Eukaryota; Metazoa; Chordata; Mammalia; Primates; Aotidae. The record is from RNAcentral.